AAAUUGAAGAGUUUGAUCAUGGCUCAGAUUGAACGCUGGCGGCAGGCCUAACACAUGCAAGUCGAGCGGUAGCACAGAGAGCUUGCUCUCGGGUGACGAGCGGCGGACGGGUGAGUAAUGUCUGGGAAACUGCCUGAUGGAGGGGGAUAACUACUGGAAACGGUAGCUAAUACCGCAUAACGUCGCAAGACCAAAGUGGGGGACCUUCGGGCCUCAUGCCAUCAGAUGUGCCCAGAUGGGAUUAGCUAGUAGGUGGGGUAACGGCUCACCUAGGCGACGAUCCUAGCUGGUCUGAGAGGAUGACCAGCCACACUGGAACUGAGACACGGUCCAGACUCCUACGGGAGGCAGCAGUGGGGAAUAUUGCACAAUGGGCGCAAGCCUGAUGCAGCCAUGCCGCGUGUGUGAAGAAGGCCUUCGGGUUGUAAAGCACUUUCAGCGGGGAGGAAGGCGAUAAGGUUAAUAACCUUGUCGAUUGACGUUACCCGCAGAAGAAGCACCGGCUAACUCCGUGCCAGCAGCCGCGGUAAUACGGAGGGUGCAAGCGUUAAUCGGAAUUACUGGGCGUAAAGCGCACGCAGGCGGUCUGUCAAGUCGGAUGUGAAAUCCCAGGCUCAACCGGGAACUGCAUUCGAAACUGGCAGGCUAGAGUCUUGUAGAGGGGUAGAAUUCGGUGUAGCGGUGAAAUGCGUAGAGAUCUGGAGGAAUACCGGUGGCGAAGGCGGCCCCCUGGACAAAGACUGACGCUCAGGUGCGAAAGCGUGGGGAGCAAACAGGAUUAGAUACCCUGGUAGUCCACGCCGUAAACGAUGUCGAUUUGGAGGUUGUGCCCUUGAGGCGUGGCUUCCGGAGCUAACGCGUUAAAUCGACCGCCUGGGGAGUACGGCCGCAAGGUUAAAACUCAAAUGAAUUGACGGGGGCCCGCACAAGCGGUGGAGCAUGUGGUUUAAUUCGAUGCAACGCGAAGAACCUUACGGUCUUGACAUCCACAGAACUUUCCAGAGAUGGAUUGGUGCCUUCGGGAACUGUGAGACAGGUGCUGCAUGGCUGUCGUCAGCUCGUGUUGUGAAAUGUUGGGUUAAGUCCCGCAACGAGCGCAACCCUUAUCCUUUGUUGCCAGCGGUUAGGCCGGGAACUCAAAGGAGACUGCCAGUGAUAAACUGGAGGAAGGUGGGGAUGACGUCAAGUCAUCAUGGCCCUUACGACCAGGGCUACACACGUGCUACAAUGGCAUAUACAAAGAGAAGCGACCUCGCGAGAGCAAGCGGACCUCAUAAAGUAUGUCGUAGUCCGGAUUGGAGUCUGCAACUCGACUCCAUGAAGUCGGAAUCGCUAGUAAUCGUAGAUCAGAAUGCUACGGUGAAUACGUUCCCGGGCCUUGUACACACCGCCCGUCACACCAUGGGAGUGGGUUGCAAAAGAAGUAGGUAGCUUAACCUUCGGGAGGGCGCUUACCACUUUGUGAUUCAUGACUGGGGUGAAGUCGUAACAAGGUAACCGUAGGGGAACCUGCGGUUGGAUCACCUCCUUACCUUAAAGAA
Molecule: ribosomal RNA, 1541 nt
Filed under: Klebsiella pneumoniae
Lineage: Bacteria; Pseudomonadati; Pseudomonadota; Gammaproteobacteria; Enterobacterales; Enterobacteriaceae
Description: bacterial SSU rRNA
Rfam family: Bacterial small subunit ribosomal RNA
Source: RNAcentral